This 207-nucleotide long non-coding RNA is filed under the name Ananas comosus (pineapple). RNAcentral describes it as "long non-coding RNA (ACOM_LNC003310)". Lineage: Eukaryota; Viridiplantae; Streptophyta; Magnoliopsida; Poales; Bromeliaceae. The record is from RNAcentral.
AAACCUUAUACCGGAAUCUCCAUUUCAUUGACGAAUUUGCUGAAAAAUGUUGAAAAAUUGAAAAUCUGCACCGCGAGGGCCAACACAUCUUGGCCAACAAGUCUAGGGUCACCAACAGUGAUCUCACGCUACCCAAGGCAGCCCACAAGGCCCAAUUUACAUAAAAUCCCUUAGCUAUAUACUCUUUGCAUUUUACACAAAAAAAUG